RNAcentral lists this ribosomal RNA (324 nucleotides) under uncultured eukaryote. RNAcentral describes it as "partial 18S ribosomal RNA". It matches the Rfam family "Eukaryotic small subunit ribosomal RNA", at positions 1470 to 1796 of the family's 1831-position model. The record is from RNAcentral.
CCCUUAGAUGUUCUGGGCUGCACGCGCGCUACACUGAUGCGAUCAACAAGUUUUUCCUAUGUCGAUAGACACGGGUAAUCUUUUGAACUCGCAUCGUGAUGGGGAUAGAUUAUUGUAAUUAUUAAUCUUCAACGAGGAAUUCCUAGUAGAUGCAAAUCAUCAGUUUGCAUCGAUUACGUCCCUGCCCUUUGUACACACCGCCCGUCGCUGCUACCGAUUGGUUGAUCUGGUGAAUUAUUCGGACUGCCGGCUGAAGGGGUUUCCUCAUCUGCCAGCGGAAAGUCUUGUUAACCCUAUCAACUAGAGGAAGCAGAAGUCGUAACA